GUUGCAGGCAAAGUUAGCAGGUACCACUGAUGCAACUGACUUUCCAACUGACACAGACGAGCACUUCUGAUCAGGAGGAGGAUCAUUAUGCCUUAACUUUUUAGUGAAACUUAAGUUCUUUUUGCUAUCAUGAACAGGUUGCUCUGGCCUCCAUUACUCUUCAAGAGUCACCACCAUAGCACGUAGAGUACUGCUGCAGCCAGACCCCAGAGCACCACAAGACAAUGGGAACACAUCCUGACUCCCAGCAUCCUGCAAUGGCUCCCUAUCAAUUGCUAGAUCUAAAUCAAAACCCUGAGCUUUAAGGGUUUUUGGAAUCUGCCUCUCCCUGGGAUCACUUUGCUCUCUCCAUUACAAUGACCUGGUUGCACUCAACUGGACCAAUGGAGUUAUUAGUGAUAAGCUUGAUAUGUGAAAGCGGUGGUCAGAGACACCUAAGCAGCCAGCCCAUUGUGGUAGAACUCCCACCAGACAUAGACUGACAAUGGAUCUCAUCACAUUUAGAUCAAGAUGUAAGACUUAUCUUUUUGACAGGGUUUUUCCCAAUACAAAACCAGGCGCAGUUUGCUAUGUGCAGAAAUGAAAUUACAAAAGAGGAAGAAGAAAGAUUUAAAAAUAGCCUCAGGUAAUAUAAGUGCACCUCAACAGCUUUUACGAGAAAAGGAAGCAGAAUGCAAUCCUGUGGACUACUUGUUCACAUAUGUAAUUUUUGUGUGCAUUAAGAUACCACUAAAUAGGUGCAUUGCAGAUAGAGAUCAUGAUCAGAAGGAGCUAGGAAUCUGUGGUGAGUGUGCAUCUAAUAAUCCCGAAGAAAGAAAAUGGGCAAAUUUAUGUUAACAUAUUGAAUGUCCCUCUUACUCGGUUAUUGAGCAUGGAGCAUAUAAUACUAUUAAAAGAACUGAAGAUCACCUUUAUAUACGUUAAAUAUGCUUUCUAUAUCCUUUAA
Molecule: long non-coding RNA, 946 nt
Organism: Chelonia mydas (Green sea turtle)
Lineage: Eukaryota; Metazoa; Chordata; Testudines; Cheloniidae
Exons: 2
Source: RefSeq, a predicted model, not a curated record